CCUACGGGAGACAGCAGUGGGGAAUAUUGGGCAAUGGGCGCAAGCCUGACCCAGCAACGCCGCGUGAAGGAAGAAGGCUUUCGGGUUGUAAAAUUCUUUUAAGAGGGAAGAGCAGAAGACGGUACCUCUUGAAUAAGACACGGCUAACUACGUGCCAGCAGCCGCGGUAAUACGUAGGUGGCAAGCGUUGUCCGGAUUUACUGGGUGUAAAGGGCGUGCAGCCGGGAAGAGAAGUCAGAUGUGAAAUCCCGCGGCUCAACCGCGGAACUGCAUUUGAAACUGUUUUUCUUGAGUACCGGAGAUGUCAUCGGAAUUCCUUGUGUAGCGGUGAAAUGCGUAGAUAUCA
RNAcentral lists this ribosomal RNA (346 nucleotides) under uncultured bacterium. Its description in RNAcentral is "partial 16S ribosomal RNA". It matches the Rfam family "Bacterial small subunit ribosomal RNA", at positions 338 to 699 of the family's 1533-position model. The record is from RNAcentral.